This 366-nucleotide unclassified non-coding RNA is filed under the name Hevea brasiliensis (rubber tree). Lineage: Eukaryota; Viridiplantae; Streptophyta; Magnoliopsida; Malpighiales; Euphorbiaceae. The record is from RNAcentral.
GCUCGAGUGCUUCCACCGAAGAGUGAGUAUAUAAUGAUACUAUUAUUGUUUAAUUGUAUGAUUUGCGUGAUUAUAAUACCUUCAAAAGAAGUGAUUUCUCAUACAAUUUUCAUAAUUUCCUUUGUGGGCAUAUAGAAGAUGCCUUUUUGGAGAUUAUAUUUAUUGCUUGCUACUUUUUUUUUUCUUUUGCCAUUUCUAGUUAGAUUGUUUUUAGCACAAAAACACAGAAGACUUACUGUUGCUUUUGGAGCUAGAAGCUUGUCAUUUAUUAACGAGGCAUUCUAUAAGGUCUAUGAAAUUGAUAGCAAAUACUGCAUGUUCUGCAUAUAAUGAAGCCCUGAUGGUAUUUGCCAAAAAAAAAAAGCC